UUAUUUUCAAGAACACUGGCCUGACAUCACUGUUUCCAGCAUGGGAAACCAGAGGGAACCCAACAUGAAGACGCGGGAGAAGAUGGCGACUUAGAUGCCAGGAGAGGGGCCCUGGGACGGGUCCUUCCUUGCAGCCUCAGAAGGAGCCAGCCCUGCCCGCACCUUGAUCUGGGACUUCUGGCCUCCAGAACUGUGGGAGGAUGCACAUCUGCCAGUCCAGCCCCCAUCUGUGUGCUCUGUCGUGGGAGCAUGGGAAACCAGCAGGAGCACUUCUCAGCUUACAGUGCAGGUCCGUCCUGAUGAACCCGGGGCAAGCUCGUGACAUCACUAAGUUGAGACUUCACUGACUUCACCUAACCUAGCGACCAUCACAGCUCAGCCCAGCCUACCGGAAACAUGCUCAGAACACCUACGCCAGCCUACAGCUGGGCACACACAUCUAACGCAAAGCCUGUUUUAUAAUACAAUGUUGACCGUCUCACGUAAGAGUACUGUACCGCAGAUUGCUAGCUCAGAGAAAGAUCGAAAUUCAAAAUUCAAAGUAUGGUUUCUACUGAAUGCAUAUUGUUUUUGCAACAUUAUAAAAUCAAAAAACGAU
This 598-nucleotide long non-coding RNA is filed under the name Homo sapiens (human). Its description in RNAcentral is "HSALNT0068770". Lineage: Eukaryota; Metazoa; Chordata; Mammalia; Primates; Hominidae. The record is from RNAcentral.